Molecule: transfer RNA, 66 nt
Filed under: Gordonella aff. paravillosa ZS-2018
Lineage: Eukaryota; Metazoa; Arthropoda; Malacostraca; Decapoda; Solenoceridae
Description: tRNA-Asn
Source: RNAcentral
UUGGUUAAAGCCAAAAAGAGGCUUAUCACUGUUAAUGAUAGAAAUGAAGAUAGUCUUCUAACCAAG